UUCCGAUUUAUGCGUUAAUGUCUUUUUUAUCUCUCAUUUUGCCUACGAGUUCAAUCUAUUUCAAUUCCAUAAGAGAAGUUUAUGAAGCUUGGGUUAUCUAUAAUUUCCUGUCUUUAUGCCUGGCUUGGGUUGGUGGCCCUGGAGCAGUUGUUCUAAGUUUAAGUGGUCGGGUUCUGAGGCCAUCCAUGUGUCUGAUGACAUGUUGCUUACCUCCAAUACCACUAGAUGGGCGAUUUAUAAGGAGGUGUAAGCAGGGGUGUUUGCAGUUUGUGAUUCUGAAGCCUAUCUUAGUUGCUGUUACUCUUAUACUUUAUGCAAAAGGGAAAUAUAAAGAUGGAAAUUUCAGUCCGAACCAAGCAUACCUAUAUCUUACCAUCACCUAUACAAUCUCAUACACAAUGGCUCUGUAUGCUUUGGCAUUAUUUUAUGUCGCAUGCAGGGAUCUGCUUCAGCCCUUCAAUCCAGUUCCCAAGUUUAUUAUGAUUAAGUCUGUUGUUUUCUUAACUUACUGGCAGGGAGUUUUGGUUUUUCUGGCUGCAAAAUCUGGAUUCAUAAAGAAUGCAGAGGAAGCUGCUCAGUUUCAAAAUUUUAUCAUAUGUGUUGAGACGCGNNNNNNNNNNCUGCUGUUGGUCAUCUUUUUGCAUUCCCAUACAAAGAGUAUGCUGGUGCAAAUAUCGGUGG
This 681-nucleotide unclassified non-coding RNA is filed under the name Hevea brasiliensis (rubber tree). Lineage: Eukaryota; Viridiplantae; Streptophyta; Magnoliopsida; Malpighiales; Euphorbiaceae. The record is from RNAcentral.